Molecule: ribosomal RNA, 372 nt
Filed under: Intrasporangiaceae bacterium 7.31-VPa
Lineage: Bacteria; Bacillati; Actinomycetota; Actinomycetes; Micrococcales; Intrasporangiaceae
Description: bacterial SSU rRNA
Rfam family: Bacterial small subunit ribosomal RNA
Source: RNAcentral
CCGCGUGAGGGAUGACGGCCUUCGGGUUGUAAACCUCUUUCAGCAGGGAAGAAGCGCAAGUGACGGUACCUGCAGAAGAAGCACCGGCUAACUACGUGCCAGCAGCCGCGGUAAUACGUAGGGUGCGAGCGUUGUCCGGAAUUAUUGGGCGUAAAGAGCUUGUAGGCGGUUUGUCGCGUCUGCUGUGAAAAUCCGGGGCUCAACCCCGGACUUGCAGUGGGUACGGGCAGACUAGAGUGUGGUAGGGGAGACUGGAAUUCCUGGUGUAGCGGUGAAAUGCGCAGAUAUCAGGAGGAACACCGAUGGCGAAGGCAGGUCUCUGGGCCACUACUGACGCUGAGAAGCGAAAGCAUGGGGAGCGAACAGGAUUAG